CACGUAGGGGGCAAGCGUUGUCCGGAUUUAUUGGGCGUAAAGAGCUCGUAGGCGGCUUAGUAAGUCGGGUGUGAAACCUCCAGGCUCAACCUGGAGACGCCACCCGAUACUGCUGUGGCUAGAGGCCAGUAGGGGGAUGCGGAAUUCCGGGUGUAGUGGUGGAAUGCGUAGAGAUCCGGAGGAACACCAGCGGCGAAGGCGGCAUCCUGGACUGGUCCUGACACUCAGGAGCGAAAGCGUGGGGAGCGAUCCGG
This 254-nucleotide ribosomal RNA is filed under the name uncultured bacterium. RNAcentral's name for it is "partial 16S ribosomal RNA". It matches the Rfam family "Bacterial small subunit ribosomal RNA", at positions 524 to 776 of the family's 1533-position model. The record is from RNAcentral.